This is an RNA transcript of Raphanus sativus (radish), 1797 nucleotides long. It is a transcript of the gene named E3 ubiquitin-protein ligase SINA-like 2, with no coding region annotated. Lineage: Eukaryota; Viridiplantae; Streptophyta; Magnoliopsida; Brassicales; Brassicaceae. The transcript has 7 exons. The record is from RefSeq and is a predicted model, not a curated record.
UAGCAUCAGUAAAAUCGAAAUAUAUAUUCUCAGUUACAAAAACGAAGUGGGCUUUUGUGUCCCUUACCUAAUGGGAGCGGCAAAUUGCACAAAAUCGUAAAAAUUGACUCCUAAAAUCUGAAAACGUUAGCAGGAGAGGAAAUAGGGUUUCGCAACAUUUUCUAAUCUAACCUAAUUAAAGACGCUAGGCAUAAUGAAAGAGAUGAACGCCGAGCAAGACUUCACUGGAGAAGCGUCAACCAGUCACCACCAAAAGAGGCAACGAAGACUUCCCUCCACUGUUGAAGAAGAAGAAAAAGUAGGCGAUGUAACGGAGGCACGAUCGCGGACUAUGUUUGAUUUGGAUCUUCUGGACUGUCCCGUUUGCUUCCAUGCACUGACAAAUCCUAUCUUUCAGGCUGAAGCAGCUCCUACUGCGAUUGAAGCCACGAACCCUUUGAAUGAAGGUCAGAGAGAGCUUUCGGAUGAGUUCAAUACCAAACUGAAUCUAGAUAAUCAGAAUGAAGCAUCUGAUGAAAAGAUGCACAUGGACGCAGAUUAUUCUUCUUCCUCAGAUGAUUCUGAUUCUGAUGCUGAGGAAGAGGAGGAGCUCGUGAUUGUUAGUCCACAGCCACCAAGAUCUACUACUACCGGAGGAUCAAGAACACUUUUUGCUGGCAAUCUUGCGCGCCAAGUUUUUUUUUUUUGUCACAGACAUAACUUAUAUUAUAAAGCUCAAAGAGCAACAAAGUUAACAACUGAAGCAGAAAAUUCUAGAGCCCGGCUCGACGGUAGAGUGAGGCUAGAAAACAAUGCAAAACAACUAAAGAUAAAACCAUCUUGGGGCGAGUCAAGCUCAGCGAAAUGAAGAGACCCGUAGAGAAGCUUCAAUUUUGUUCCCAUGGCGACUGUUCUCGCGAACAAUUGAUAGUCGAAAUCGACGUUGAUACACCUGAUUGAGAUGUUGACUGGCAAGAGCUUUCGGUGAGGAGCUCCAGAACCGUAUGCAACAUCAAGAGAACUAAGUCCUAGAUGACUUGAUUUGGCACUGAAGUUGGCACGAUCAAAUUUAAACUCAACAAAGCUUCUCAAUGAGACUAGGUGAAUCUCAAAAGCUAACUUAGCCUUCAUAAGGACGCUUAGGACAAUGGAGUUGGAUGACAAACAUAAUGGUUUAGUCGGGUCAAAACCUAGUACCGCAACAUUACCGUGUCGAAGCCAAUAGUUUGUAACCGAGAUAGACCAGCGCAUAAUAUCAUCACACUCGUUCUGGAUGAGCGUAAUUAAGCAAACGUCAGGUACGAGGCAAAGCAUUUCAGUACGGUCGAGUCUCCUUGCACUAGCCUUCGGAGUGUUACUCUGACUUGCGCGCCAAGUUAAAAAAUCAGAUAUCGAGGAGUUCUUCCAAGAAGCUGGCGAAGUUGUUGAUGUUAAAUUUGCUAUGGGACCUGAUGGCAGUUUCAGGGGAUUUAUCCAUAUUUUGUUUUCUUCUCCUGAAGAAGCACAGAAUGCGCUGGGAUUUCAGGGUAGAACUUUGCUCGGUCGUCCAAUUCGGCUUGACAUGGCUCUCUCGAAAGUUCACAAAUCAGGUGCUUCGGUGGUAUCUUGAGUGGUGGUGGGGAUGGCAGGAUCUAUCAAGAAUAAAUAUAGAUAAUAACUAAGGAGGGUUACUAGUUACUUUUUAAUCUUUUAGAUCAGGCUAAUUAUGAUUUAACCUAUACUUUUGAGCAUCUCCGUUUUGUUUUUUUUUGUUUAUGUAAGAGAUCAAGGAAGAGUUCUGUAUUUGUGUUAUCAUCAUCUUCUUCUUCUUUUUUUUUG